UUUUAUUUGAGAGUUUGAUCCUGGCUCAGGAUGAACGCUGGCGGCGUGCCUAACACAUGCAAGUUGAGCGAUUUACUUCGGUAAAGAGCGGCGGACGGGUGAGUAACUGGGUGGGAAACCUCCCCGU
This 127-nucleotide ribosomal RNA is filed under the name Clostridioides difficile. RNAcentral's name for it is "partial 16S ribosomal RNA". It matches the Rfam family "Bacterial small subunit ribosomal RNA", at positions 1 to 134 of the family's 1533-position model. The record is from RNAcentral. Lineage: Bacteria; Bacillati; Bacillota; Clostridia; Peptostreptococcales; Peptostreptococcaceae.